Molecule: RNA transcript, 3411 nt
Organism: Cryptomeria japonica (Japanese cedar)
Lineage: Eukaryota; Viridiplantae; Streptophyta; Pinopsida; Cupressales; Cupressaceae
Exons: 2
Source: RefSeq, a predicted model, not a curated record
CAUAUUAGUAAUAUCUGCGUAUUUGAUUCGACGACUCCAAAAACCUCGAGUUUGUCUGUAUAAGGAAUUUAUCUCGGGGCAGAUUUAUGAACGAAUUUAAUGCCUUCGUCGUUAUGAACCCUGGAUAUUCCUUCAGAUAAGGUUUGAUCUCCUGUGAAUGGUCGAAUUCGAUCGUCUGAACAGUAUUUAAAGAUUUAACAAAUGGCAGAGUGUCAAGGAAGACUCAAGAGAAGUCGUUCUGGUGCGGAUUUGACAAGAUAAAUGCGAGCGUGAGGGUGAAUACUGUGCAAUGGAUCUCCUGGUAACUCUUUUCUUGUUUCUAAAUACACUCUUUGCUUUUCUGCUGCCAUUUUGCUCUUCUGCAGAUUUGAGUGGAACGGUUGCCUUUGCGUCCGUUGGCCGUGCUCACUAUGCAUUUGACAUCUAUUCACUACCCAUCAAAUACAAAUCUCCGAACACCUUUGAAUUCUCUGGAUUGGAGGAGGUGAGGAGCACUGAUGGAGUGUCUGUAAAUUUCAAUGGGCAAUUCUUAGAUGUUCCCGCCAUUGAUGCCCUCGCUGCCAAGCUCAACAUAAACACCACAACACAACCUGUGCUUAAUGCCCUAGCCUAUGUCAGCGAGCGGGAUGGUUUGGCCGACAUAUAUCUCGACAUAUACUUUUCUGCUGCUCCAAUUUUGUCUCAGAAAAUCUCUGGGGAUGGAAAUGGUAGACGGGAGAUUCUGGAGAGUCACAAAGACUAUCUUACUGUAAAAUUUGGGGAUCUUGUGGGUAGCAAAGAGGAGGUUUUGUCAAUGAAAGACAGGCCUAGCAUGAAGGGGGACAGAAUGGUUUUUGUUUCCACUGCCAUACCUGCCCAAAAGUCGAGAAACAGCUGGGCUGCGGUGUAUUGUACGAAUUUGAGAACAGGGCGUACAAAGCGCCUGACGCCCAGGGGAAGAGGGAUUGCAGACCUGAGCCCCGCGCUGUCUCCCUCGGGUGAGCUCGUGGCCGUUGCCUCCACUGGCGAAGGCGGUUGGGAGGGCCAGAUUAGGGAUUUAGAGACUGACCUUUAUGUUUUUAGGGCUUCUGAUGGGUUCGAGAGGAGGCUUGUGGCGAAGCAUGGUGGGUGGCCUUGUUGGGCUGAUGAUGACACCUUGUUUUUCCACAGGCAGGCAGAGGAUGGGUGGUGGAGUGUUUACAGAGUCUCGCUUUCCUUCGCCGAGAUAGAGAGAAUCACUCCGCCUGGAAUCCAUGCCUUUACGCCCGCAGCUGCGCCUUUAGGCGGAGCGUCAUGGAUCGUGGUUGCUACCCGUAGACCUGAUUCGGAGUAUCGACAUAUAGAGAUAUUUGACCUGGUGAAGAAGGAAUUUGUGGAGCUUAGCAAAUUGGUGGAUGCCAAUUCCCACCAUUAUAAUCCCUUUGUAUCUGGGGAUAGAAUUGGGUAUCAUCGGUGCAGGGGUGGUGAAAGAGGGCUAAUUCCUGUGCUGGAGCAUAUCAGAUCACCCGCUGCUCUGCCUAACCUUUCUGUCUUUCGGGUAGAUGGGACUUUCCCAUCUUUUUCUCCUGAUGGGAGCAUGAUAGCCUAUAUCCCCAAUAUAGAAUACAGUGGGGUUUAUGUCAUGAACCUCGAUGGUUCAGGUUCCAGGAAAAUAUUUUCUGGCUCCGCUUUUGGGACCGCUUGGGACUGGAAAAGAGCUGUGAUUUAUACCAGCUAUGGACCCGGAUUUUCAUCGGAAAAGACUACAGUUGAUAUUGUGGCUAUUUAUAAUGCUGACAAGGAGGACGGUUCUGAGGUCUUUCAUAAAACCCUGACAAAAAUUGACAACAAUGCUUUUCCUUCGCCUUCCCCGGAUGGGAGAUUUGUGGUAUUUAGGUCUGGGAGGAGUCGACACAAAAACCUGUAUAUUAUGGAUGCUGCGCAAGGUGAAGAGGGGGGUCUGUGGCGGUUGACAGAGGGGCCCUGGACUGACACUAUGUGCAAUUGGUCCCCUGAUGGGGAUUGGAUUGCUUUUGCCUCUGAUCGCCAGCACCCUGGAAGUGGCAGCUUCGCCAUGUAUUUUGUGCAUCCUAACGGAACCGGGCUGCAUAUGGUUUUGAACAGUAGUACAGCUGGGCGGGUGAAUCACCCCUGGUUCAGCCCGGAUUCAAAGAGUUUGGUAUUUACCUCGGAUUAUGCAGGGGUGUCUGCUGAGCCAAUUUCUGUGCCUCAUCAGUUCCAGCCUUAUGGAGAGAUUUUCAUGGCUAGGGUAGAUGGUUCUGGCCUUCAACGCCUCACUCAUAAUUCUUAUGAAGAUGGAACUCCGUCGUGGGGCAGGGUUUUCUUGGAUCCUAACCAUUUGGCAGGAGAAGGUAACAAGGUUAAAUGUGAUUUUGAUGACGAUACGUGGCUGCAGAUGAACAGUGGACUGCCCAUUGGUUCAGUGAAAUGCUGAAACAAACAAAUGGCACAUGAUGGGCAGGAAGUAUAUAUUCUUUCUUUCUUCGUUGUACAGUGAGUCAGAAGAAAGAUCGGAUAUUCCUGAUAAAUAGUACUAUAUCAUAAUCUACUCUUGAUAGAACCUAUCAGAUUUCACAAUCUGCAUGAACUACUGAAUCUUAAAUGGUCCAGAGGGGUGCACAUGCAGCCUGGAGAAGAAGAGGGAGGAGGAAUCCAAGAAGUUCAAAGGAGAUGAGCAACAACCAUAGAUCCCAUGGAAAGACUUAUUGAGGCUAUCAACAAACAGGGAACUAGAGUUAAGGUUGAGGUUCCUGAUUUCAAAGGUGAAUCAAAUCCUGAGGUGUUCUUGGAUUGGAUUCAAGAAUUAGUAAAAUACUAUGACAUGGAAGAAUUGAGGAAACUGAUCGACGAAGCAACAUCAAAGAUGAAGUCGUAUGUUGGUUUAUGGUCGGAGAAUCUCCAAAACAUUAGGAGAAGUCAAGGGAAGAAGAAAAUCAAAUUAUGUUCAAAGAUGUUAAAACAUUUGAAGGCUAAAUUUAUUCUUAGAUUGUCAACAAAAGUUCUUUAGAGAAUUCCAAAAUCUAAAACAAGAGUCCUCCAUAUCUAUCUAUACUGAACAAUUUAUCAAGCUGUAGGGCAUAACUGAUUUCCAAGAAGAUAAAUGGCCAAGUAUAUUAAUGGGCAUAUAUCCCAACACACAAAUGAACUAGCUUUACUCAAAGUGAAUAUUGUGGAUGAAGCCUAUUAACUAGCUUUAAACGCAUAAGAAAAAUUGAAUAUUUUCAGUUUAGUGGCCAGCGAAAGAGGUAGCAAUUCAAAUAGAUAAAGAGGAAAUUCCUAUAAAUUAACCAAUGAAGGAGAGCCAGAGGAUAAUGUGAAGCCAAACUUCCAAGGGAGGGGUGGUUUUAGAGUUAAAGGAUGAGGACAACAAUUUUCUAGGGGUUGGAAACCUUUGAGGUGUUUUAUUUGUAGUGAGCCUAGAGAAUUGUAGAU